Non-coding RNA from Heterocephalus glaber (naked mole-rat), 234 nucleotides. NCBI's taxonomy places the organism in Eukaryota, Metazoa, Chordata, Mammalia, Rodentia, Bathyergidae. The record is from RefSeq and is a predicted model, not a curated record.
AGAUUGACAAGGAGCAGUAUGAUAAAAUACUCGGCCUCAUUGAGAGUGGGAAGAAACAAGGAGCCAAACUGGAAUUGGGCGGAGGCCCCUGGGGGAACAAAGGCUACUUCAUCCAGCCCACAGUUUUCUCCAAUGUGACAGAUGAGAUGCGCAUUGCCAAAGAGGAGAUAGAUCGGAAGAGCGUCGUGUAGGGAAAGAGUGUAGAUCUCGGUGGUCGCCAGAUCAUUAAAAAAA